Molecule: ribosomal RNA, 229 nt
Filed under: uncultured bacterium
Lineage: Bacteria
Description: partial 16S ribosomal RNA
Rfam family: Bacterial small subunit ribosomal RNA
Source: RNAcentral
UCCGUAGGUGGAUAAUUAAGUCAGAGGUGAAAUCCUGCAGCUCAACUGUAGAAUUGCCUUUGAUACUGGUUAUCUUGAGUCAUUAUGAAGUGGUUAGAAUGUGUAGUGUAGCGGUGAAAUGCAUAGAUAUUACACAGAAUACCGAUUGCGAAGGCAGAUCACUAAUAAUGUACUGACACUGAUGGACGAAAGCGUGGGGAGCGAACAGGAUUAGAUACCCUGGUAGUCC